AAAGAUGGUUUCGGCUAUCACUUCUGGAUGGGCCUGCGGCGCAUUAGCUUGUUGGUGAGGUAACGGCUCACCAAGGCUGUGAUGCGUAGCCGAGUUGAGAGACUGAUCGGCCACAAUGGAACUGAGACACGGUCCAUACUCCUACGGGAGGCAGCAGUAGGGAAUCUUCCACAAUGGGCGCAAGCCUGAUGGAGCAACACCGCGUGAGUGAAGAAGGGUUUCGGCUCGUAAAACUCUGUUGUUGAAGAAGAACGUGCGUGAGAGUAACUGUUCACGCAGUGACGGUAUUCAACCAGAAAGUCACGGCUAACUACGUGCCAGCAGCCGCGGUAAUACGUAGGUGGCAAGCGUUAUCCGGAUUUAUUGGGCGUAAAGCGAGCGCAGGCGGUUUUCUAAGUCUGAUGUGAAAGCCUUCGGCUUAACCGGAGAAGUGCAUCGGAAACUGGAUAACUUGAGUGCAAGAGAGGACAGUGGAACUCCAUGUGUAGCGGUGGAAUGCGUAGAUAUAUGGAAGAACACCAGUGGCGAAGGCGGCUGUCUAGCUUGCAACUGACGCUGAGGCUCGAAAGCAUGGGUAGCGAACAGGAUUAGAUACCCUGGUAGUCCAUGCCGUAAACGAUGAGUGCUAGGUGUUGGAGGGUUUCCGCCCUUCAGUGCCGGAGCUAACGCAUUAAGCACUCCGCCUGGGGAGUACGACCGCAAGGUUGAAACUCAAAGGAAUUGACGGGGGCCCGCACAAGCGGUGGAGCAUGUGGUUUAAUUCGAAGCUACGCGAAGAACCUUACCAGGUCUUGACAUCUUGCGCUAACCUCAGAGAUGAGGCGUUCCCUUCGGGGACGCAAUGACAGGUGGUGCAUGGUCGUCGUCAGCUCGUGUCGUGAGAUGUUGGGUUAAGUCCCGCAACGAGCGCAACCCUUGUUACUAGUUGCCAGCAUUCAGUUGGGCACUCUAGUGAGACUGCCGGUGACAAACCGGAGGAAGGUGGGGACGACGUCAGAUCAUCAUGCCCCUUAUGACCUGGGCUACACACGUGCUACAAUGGACG
This 1045-nucleotide ribosomal RNA is filed under the name Limosilactobacillus coleohominis. RNAcentral describes it as "bacterial SSU rRNA". It matches the Rfam family "Bacterial small subunit ribosomal RNA", at positions 202 to 1236 of the family's 1533-position model. The record is from RNAcentral. Lineage: Bacteria; Bacillati; Bacillota; Bacilli; Lactobacillales; Lactobacillaceae.